UACGGAGGGGGCAAGCGUUAUUCGGAAUUAUUGGGCGUAAAGAGCUUGUAGGCGGUUUGUCGCGUCUGCUGUGAAAUUUCGGGGCUCAACCCCGAACUUGCAGUGGGUACGGGCAGACUAGAGUGUGGUAGGGGAGACUGGAAUUCCUGGUGUAGCGGUGAAAUGCGCAGAUAUCAGGAGGAACACCGAUGGCGAAGGCAGGUCUCUGGGCCAUAACUGACGCUGAGAAGCGAAAGCAUGGGGAGCGAACAGG
RNAcentral lists this ribosomal RNA (253 nucleotides) under uncultured bacterium. RNAcentral's name for it is "partial 16S ribosomal RNA". It matches the Rfam family "Bacterial small subunit ribosomal RNA", at positions 524 to 776 of the family's 1533-position model. The record is from RNAcentral.